Molecule: ribosomal RNA, 953 nt
Filed under: uncultured bacterium
Lineage: Bacteria
Description: bacterial SSU rRNA
Rfam family: Bacterial small subunit ribosomal RNA
Source: RNAcentral
AGAGUUUGAUCCUGGCUCAGAACGAACGCUGGCGGCGUGCUUAACACAUGCAAGUCGCGUGCGCAGUUUUCUGUAGCAAUACAGGGAAUGGGCGCACGGCGCACGGGUGCGUAACACGUGGGCAAUCUGCCCUCCGAUGGGGAAUAACCCCGCGAAAGCGGGGCUAAUACCGCAUAAAAUUCCUUGAGCGACGGUUCGAGGAUUCAAAGCAGUAAUGCGUCGGAGGAGGAGCCCGCGCCCGAUUAGCUAGUUGGUGAGGUAACGGCUCACCAAGGCAAUGAUCGGUAGCUGGUCUGAGAGGAUGAUCAGCCACACUGGAACUGAGACACGGUCCAGACUCCUACGGGAGGCAGCAGUGGGGAAUCUUGCACAAUGGGCGAAAGCCUGAUGCAGCGACGCCGCGUGGGGGAUGAAGCUUUUCGGAGUGUAAACCCCUUUCGCCUGGGACGAAUGCCCGCAAGGGAGUGACGGUACCAGGAUAAGAAGCCCCGGCUAACUACGUGCCAGCAGCCGCGGUAAGACGUAGGGGGCCAGCGUUGUUCGGAAUUACUGGGUGUAAAGGGUUCGUAGGCGGUGUGGCAAGUUGGGAGUGAAAUCUCUGGGCUCAACCCAGAGGCUGCUUCCAAAACUGCUGUGCUUGAGUGUGAGAGAGGCUCGUGGAAUUGCAGGUGUAGCGGUGAAAUGCGUAGAUAUCUGCAGGAACACCCGUGGCGAAAGCGGCGAGCUGGAUCACUACUGACGCUGAGGAACGAAAGCUAGGGGAGCAAACAGGAUUAGAUACCCUGGUAGUCCUAGCCCUAAACGAUCAGGACUUGGGGUGCCGCCCGUUCGGGCGUCGUCCCGGAGCUAACGCGUUAAGUCCUGCACCUGGGGAGUACGGUCGCAAGACUGAAACUCAAAGGAAUUGACGGGGCCCGCACAAGCGGUGGAACAUGUGGUUCAAUUCGACGCUA